RNAcentral lists this ribosomal RNA (329 nucleotides) under Staphylococcus epidermidis. RNAcentral's name for it is "bacterial LSU rRNA". It matches the Rfam family "Bacterial large subunit ribosomal RNA", at positions 1 to 328 of the family's 2925-position model. Lineage: Bacteria; Bacillati; Bacillota; Bacilli; Caryophanales; Staphylococcaceae. The record is from RNAcentral.
AGAUUAAGUUAUUAAGGGCGCACGGUGGAUGCCUUGGCACUAGAAGCCGAUGAAGGACGUUACUAACGACGAUAUGCUUUGGGUAGCUGUAAGUAAGCGUUGAUCCAGAGAUUUCCGAAUGGGGGAACCCAGCAUGAGUUAUGUCAUGUUAUCGACAUGUGAAUUCAUAGCAUGUCAGAAGGCAGACCCGGAGAACUGAAACAUCUUAGUACCCGGAGGAAGAGAAAGAAAAAUCGAUUCCCUGAGUAGCGGCGAGCGAAACGGGAAGAGCCCAAACCAACAAGCUUGCUUGUUGGGGUUGUAGGACACUCUAUACGGAGUUACAAAAG